RNAcentral lists this ribosomal RNA (356 nucleotides) under uncultured bacterium. Its description in RNAcentral is "bacterial SSU rRNA". It matches the Rfam family "Bacterial small subunit ribosomal RNA", at positions 32 to 412 of the family's 1533-position model. The record is from RNAcentral.
AAUCAACGCUGGCGGCAGGCCUAACACAUGCAAGUCGAACGGAUCCUUCGGGAUUAGUGGCGGACGGGUGAGUAACACGUGGGAACGUGCCUUUUGGUUCGGAACAACUCAGGGAAACUUGAGCUAAUACCGGAUGUGCCCUUCGGGGAAAGAUUUAUCGCCAUUAGAGCGGCCCGCGUCUGAUUAGCUAGUUGGUGGGGUAAAGGCCUACCAAGGCUACGAUCAGUAGCUGGUCUGAGAGGAUGAUCAGCCACAUUGGGACUGAGACACGGCCCAAACUCCUACGGGAGGCAGCAGUGGGGAAGUCUUGCGCAAUGGGCGAAAGCCUGACGCAGCCAUGCCGCGUGAAUGAUGAA